UACGGGGGGGGCAAGCGUUGUUCGGAAUUACUGGGCGUAAAGGGCUCGUAGGCGGCCAACUAAGUCGGAUGUGAAAUCCCCAAGCUUAACUUGGGAACUGCAUCCGAUACUGGAUGGCUUGAAUCCGGGAGAGGGAUGCAGAAUUCCAGGUGUAGCGGUGAAAUGCGUAGAUAUCUGGAGGAACACCGAUGGCGAAGGCAAUCCCCUGGGCCUGCACUGACGCUCAUGCACGAAAGCGUGGGGAGCAAACAGG
This 253-nucleotide ribosomal RNA is filed under the name uncultured bacterium. Its description in RNAcentral is "partial 16S ribosomal RNA". It matches the Rfam family "Bacterial small subunit ribosomal RNA", at positions 524 to 776 of the family's 1533-position model. The record is from RNAcentral.